GAGUACGACCGCAAGGUUGAAACUCAAAGGAAUUGACGGGGCCGCACAAGCGGUGGAGCAUGUGGUUUAAUUCGAAGCUACGCGAAGAACCUUACCAGGUCUUGACAUCUUCUGCCAAUCUUGGAGAUAAGACGUUCCCUUCGGGGACAGAAUGACAGGUGGUGCAUGGUUGUCGUCAGCUCGUGUCGUGAGAUGUUGGGUUAAGUCCCGCAACGAGCGCAACCCUUAUUAUCAGUUGCCAGCAUUCAGUUGGGCACUCUGGUGAGACUGCCGGUGACAAACCGGAGGAAGGUGGGGAUGACGUCAAAUCAUCAUGCCCCUUAUGACCUGGGCUACACACGUGCUACAAUGGACAGUACAAUGAGCAGCGACACGGCGACGUGAAGCGAAUCUCAUAAAGCUGUUCUCAGUUCGGAUUGUAGGCUGCAACUCGCCUACAUGAAGCCGGAAUCGCUAGUAAUCGCGGAUCAGCACGCCGCGGUGAAUACGUUCCCGGGCCUUGUACACACCGCCCGUCACACCACGAAAGUUUGUAACACCCAAAGUCGGUGAGGUAACCUUCGGGAGCCAGCCGCCUAAGGUGGGAUAGAUGAUUGGGGUGAAGUCGUAACAAGGUAACCA
Molecule: ribosomal RNA, 621 nt
Filed under: uncultured Lactobacillus sp.
Lineage: Bacteria; Bacillati; Bacillota; Bacilli; Lactobacillales; Lactobacillaceae
Description: bacterial SSU rRNA
Rfam family: Bacterial small subunit ribosomal RNA
Source: RNAcentral